RNAcentral lists this ribosomal RNA (253 nucleotides) under uncultured bacterium. RNAcentral's name for it is "partial 16S ribosomal RNA". It matches the Rfam family "Bacterial small subunit ribosomal RNA", at positions 524 to 776 of the family's 1533-position model. The record is from RNAcentral.
UACGGAGGGUGCAAACGUUGCUCGGAAUCAUUGGGCGUAAAGCGCACGUAGGCGGUCUUUUAAGUCGGAUGUGAAAGCCCCAGGCUCAACCUGGGAAGUGCAUCGGAAACUGAAAGGCUAGAGUACGGAAGAGGGUCUCGGAAUUCCCGGUGUAGAGGUGAAAUUCGUAGAUAUCAGGAGGAACACCAAUGGCGAAGGCAGCUCGCUGGGACGUGACUGACGCUGAGACGCGAAAGCGUGGGGAGCAAACAGG